GCCUGAAUGUGUGCGUGUGCGUGCGUGUGUGCGUGUGCCAUAUGUGCACCUGUGGCCCACAACAGCUAAUAGAGGGUGUUGGGUUCUUUGGAAAUGGAGUUACAGACAGUUGUGAACUGCCACAUGGAUACUGGAAAUUGAACCUAUGUCCUCUGAGAGCAGUGAAUACUUUUAAUUACUGAGCCAUCUCAAUUUUCUUCCUGUGUAGAGUGAGGGAAAUUUAACCCUUCAUCCGUGCUAGAUAAGUACCCUAACACUGAGCUAACUCCCCACUUGUAACAGUUUGAUUUGGUUAGAACUGAAGCUAACAUUUGUAAGUUUUUAACUUGUUAAAUAUACAUUGUCAUUUCCUCUUGUUACUUAGUUUUUCUUAGGUAGUGCUCACUUACCUUUUGUGCUGUAUAGGUAUAUUUUAUUGUACCAGAAGAAAGGUAAUCUUACUUCUUAAGAAUACCUGCUUCAGCUUUUCUUAUAAUCUCAUAUCCAGUGAAUUUAAAAGAUUAAUUCUUGUUUCUUUUCAAAUGAUUAUUUUUGUUUCUUCCUGGAACAGAAGAUAUUGAGAAAUUGUUUUUAAAAAUAGGCUGACGUUUCAGGCUGACCAAAGUCUAAGUUAGGGAAAUAAAAAUAUAAAUAUUUAAAUGUUCAAUAUACCAGACAGAUUAUUUUAGGUUGAUAUUUCCUGCAAGAAUAAGUGUUAUAGCUUCAUGUGCUCGACAGUGAAGUAUAGCAGACUCUGACUACAAAGCACAAACUUUUCUUUAGAUAUUGCUCACUCUGACAGUUAUACUUUGGCAGAGUCUUGAUUUUUUUUAUUUUUUAUUUUGUACCACAUACAGAAGAGUAUGUAAUGGGAUCAGCUUGAUG
This 864-nucleotide long non-coding RNA is filed under the name Rattus norvegicus (Norway rat). Its description in RNAcentral is "long non-coding RNA NONRATT010220". Lineage: Eukaryota; Metazoa; Chordata; Mammalia; Rodentia; Muridae. The record is from RNAcentral.